GAAAACUCUUGCAUGGAUCCAUUUUGCAUUCAUUGUUUUAUUAACGUUUUAUUAAAUUUUCACACAUUUUCAAAAAGGUAAACAAAGUCAAACGGCUUCCUGAGAAGUGUAACCUUACGGAAUGCGGGUUUCACCUUUGGUCACACUCUGCCAUUAGAAAAAUAUAUUGCACUGUUUGCUAGCAACAAAUAGGGUAUAUUGUAUUUGUGGGGAAUAACGGAUGUUUUUAAAGCACAGAAGGAAGCGUGUCCGACCCCAUAAAGUAUAAAUCAAUAGCCGAGUCGAUUGAGCCAUGUCUGUCUGUCCGUCCUGAUGAGCGCUUAGUACUCAGGGACUAUAAGAGCUAGAGCCACCAAAUUUUGCAUCCAGACUCUCUAUGUAUUUCAAAAAUGAGCCCCUCCACCGCUAAAGGGCGAAAACCUCCCAAAGCUACAAUUUUGAAGAUAAAAGAAAACUAAAACUCCAUUCCGUAGGGAUCGCCAAAUUGGGAUCCGAUUGGAUCAUUAUUAUAGCCACAUUGAAGAAAUUAUAUUGCAGUGGCUAAACCCACCCGUCCCGCAACUUAUAUAUGUGUUUUGCACAUUCUCUCAUUCACACUCUGCUUCGCGCAGUGUGCGGCUUCUGCCUAGGCCUCUGCAGCGUUUCUGCCUCUGCCGUGACUAUGCAGUGUGUGUCUCUAGGGCAGGGUGGCCAGCUAAAAGAGUGUGUUGGCGUGAGAAGUGUUGUAGAUGUCGAUGGCAGAUGAAGAAAAUAUGUAAAAUUGGACAAAAACCCGCUAAGGUACCGAUGUAGUACGGAGUACCGCGUAUAAAGGUUGUGACUCGUAAGAAGCGUCUCACAUGUCCCUUCUCCUUAUUCAAUAUAGUUAACCUACCCAAUGGGAAGAGAAGCAAGCCCAUACCAUUAAAUUGGACCAUUUAUUUUUAAUGGUUUUCUUUGGUGUACUGGCGUUCCUUGGACGUCUUAAGUAUGGUCGAGAUCCCUUUUCAGCAAAUAAAACACUUUUUACUCAUCUGUCAUUAAAAUUUUCCUCCAUUGUAGGGAUGUCCAAUUGACAUGCUCCCUUGCAAACAUCAUGUGCUUAGUACUAUGUCUGGCGUUUGAAAGUGCUAGUGUUUUUGGGCAGCAAACUUUUAGGCUAUGUUGUCUAAGAUAUAUCCAAACUUUUUAGCCCGUCGCUUUUAUUUUAAGCUCUUUUUUUAAGCUCGACAGCAGGCUUGGAGAUUGGAACCUUCUUGCUCUCAAGAAUCAGCCUUUUGACCCGAAAAGGGGUCAUAGAUCGUUUUCAUCCACGUGUUUCACACUUUUCUUCAUAUUUAAGGAUUUUUAAUCAUUUUAUUGAAACUACCAAUUGACCAACAAUUUUCUGUAAGUUUUUACGUCAAAUAUCAAUGUUUUGCUAAGGUCGCGCUUCUUCGCAUUUCAGAGCUUUCCACGUCUUAUUGUAAUGAUAAUUAUUAGCUUUUUUGAUAGAAACAAUGAAAUAUUAAUCAAAACUAAUAAAUACGUGGUUUAUACAAAGUCAAUUCAGCGAAAUUACGGAGAUUCACUUAAAAUAGUGCUAAUGGUGCUAUUAUUUUUUUCGCCAUUUUUGUGGUAUUUUUUCUUAAAUUAAAAAAAAUAUAUAUAUACAGACAGAAAUUUGAAGAAAGGCAACACUUUUUAUGUUAAUGGGGAAUACUAAACUAUAUGAAAAACUAUUGAAACGAGAAGGGACAUGUGAAACGGUUUUCACGCGUUACAACUUUUAUACCCGGCACUCAGGACUACAUCUAGAUGUAGAAGACAUCGCCAACAACUAGAUAUCGUUCACAUUACAGAACACGUAGUAAAAAGCCUACUAAAUAAAAUACAUCAAACAAAUUGGAUCAGUUAAUAUUUUCCAAUUGAUGAGAUAUUUAAAACAGCAAUAAAAUUGGUACAUUCUUGGACCGAUAGGUUUCACAGCAAAUUUUUAGAAAGUGGCGCCAUCUUGCGUUGAAAACUGAGUCUUGGUUAAAAGUCGGAAGAGUCAACGCCAGGGGAAGGACAGAGGCAAUGGCCGUGUUAAGCAGAAGCAGAGUGUGAAGGAGAGAAUGUAAAAAGGGCAACAAAAGCUGCGGGACAGGGUGGGUUUAGCCACUGGAAAUUAAUUUCGUCAUUGUGGCUAUAAUAAUGAUCCGAUCGGAUCCCAAUUUGGUGAUCUGAUAGAUAUGGCCAUUUCCUACGGAAUUUUUAGUUUUCUUGUAUCUUCAAAACUGUAGAUUUGUGAUGUUUUCGCCCUUUUGCGGGGGCGGAAGGGGGCGUGGCUCAUUUUUGAACUACACUGGUUUCAGUGUGAGCAUACAGCAGUCCGGAGCCAAAAUUUGGUGGCUUUAGCUCUUAUAGUCUCUGAGAACUAGCCGACAAAAGAGACGGACGGACAGACAGACAUGACUCUAUCGACUCGGCUAUUGAUGCUGAUCAAGAAUAUAUAUAUACUUUAUGGGGUCAGAAACGCUUCCUUCUGUGUAUUUAGAGUCAUGGUGUGAACAAGCACGGAGUUUUGACGGAACGGGACAUGGAUAAAUGUUUGCUGGCAAGGCGGCUGCAAACUGACUUCAAAUUUGAUGCCCAAGCAUGGCACUAAAAUCUGCAAUUAUAUGCAAUUAUUUAUCAUAUACAUACAUGUAUAUAUAUACAUGGACAUUCAUUACAUUUAGUAAUAUUAAU
RNAcentral lists this long non-coding RNA (2691 nucleotides) under Drosophila guanche. The record is from RNAcentral. Lineage: Eukaryota; Metazoa; Arthropoda; Insecta; Diptera; Drosophilidae.